This 245-nucleotide ribosomal RNA is filed under the name uncultured bacterium. RNAcentral's name for it is "partial 16S ribosomal RNA". It matches the Rfam family "Bacterial small subunit ribosomal RNA", at positions 524 to 771 of the family's 1533-position model. The record is from RNAcentral.
UACAGGGGGGGCAAGCGUUGUUCGGAAUUACUGGGCGUAAAGGCUCGUAGGCGGCCGGCUAAGUCCGACGUGAAAUCCCCAGGCUUAACCUGGGAACUGCGUCGGAUACUGGCGGGCUUGAAUCCGGGAGAGGGAUGCGGAAUUCCAGGUGUAGCGGUGAAAUGCGUAGAUAUGCGGAGGAACACCGAUGGCGAAGGCAAUCCCCUGGGCCUGCACUGACGCUCAUGCACGAAGCGUGGGAGCAA